RNAcentral lists this ribosomal RNA (440 nucleotides) under uncultured bacterium. RNAcentral's name for it is "partial 16S ribosomal RNA". It matches the Rfam family "Bacterial small subunit ribosomal RNA", at positions 338 to 795 of the family's 1533-position model. The record is from RNAcentral.
CCUACGGGUGGCAGCAGUGGGGAAUAUUACACAAUGGGGGAAACCCUGAUGCAGCGACGCCGCGUGAGUGAAGAAGGAAGUCGUGAUGUAAAGCUCUAUCAGCAGGGAAGAAAAUGACGGUACCUGAGUAAGAAGCCCCGGCUAACUACGUGCCAGCAGCCGCGGUAAUACGUAGGGGGCAAGCGUGAUCCGGAUUUACUGGGUGUAAAGGGAGCGUAGACGGCAGGGCCAGACUGGAGGGAAAGGCGGGGGCUCACCCCCCGGACUGCUCUGGAAACUGUACGGCUGGAGUGCAGGAGAGGUAAGUGGCAUUCCUCGUGUAGCCGUGAAAUGCGUAGAUAUUAGGAGGCACCCCAGUGGCGAAGGCGGCUUACUGGACUGUAACUGACGUUGCGGCUCGAAAGCUUGGGGAGCAAACAGGAUUAGAUACCCUAGUAGUC